RNAcentral lists this ribosomal RNA (256 nucleotides) under uncultured Actinomycetales bacterium. RNAcentral's name for it is "partial 16S ribosomal RNA". It matches the Rfam family "Bacterial small subunit ribosomal RNA", at positions 92 to 334 of the family's 1533-position model. The record is from RNAcentral. Lineage: Bacteria; Bacillati; Actinomycetota; Actinomycetes; Actinomycetales.
CGAGUGGCGAACGGGUGAGUAACACGUGAGUAACCUGCCCUUGACUUUGGGAUAACUUCAGGAAACUGGGGCUAAUACGGGGUAUUCCGGGUCUGUCGCAUGGCGGGUUUGGGAAAGAUUGCGCCUUUGGGUGUUUUCGGUGGGGGAUGGGCUCGCGGCCUAUCAGCUUGUUGGUGGGGUGAUGGCCUACCAAGGCGGUGACGGGUAGCCGACCUGAGAGGGUGGACGGCCACACUGGGACUGAGACACGGCCCAG